This is a long non-coding RNA of Equus asinus (donkey), 3274 nucleotides long. The record is from Ensembl. Lineage: Eukaryota; Metazoa; Chordata; Mammalia; Perissodactyla; Equidae.
AGCACCUCCCCCAUCCUUCCUGCCUGAAGGACCUGUGGCCACCACAUUACGAUGUUUGCCUUCACCUGCUAAACCUCUCCUCUACAGAAGCCUGUCACAUAGAGAAUCUAGCUGCAAGGGAAGAGAGAAGUGUCGUCUUUACUGCAAUGGACAGAGGGUUGCAGGCAUAUUAAGUAUAUAACUUGUAAGCAGUAUGGAUAACUGGAGUUUUGAGAAAACAAUAUAAGAGUCUUGUCUUUUAGUAGACCCGCGGCUCCCUCGCCCCUUGCCUUACCUGACACCGCCCUGAAGACCUUCAGCCUAGAGAGGAAGGGGACGCUCCCAGGCUGAAGAGCAUGUGCCCCGGGCCCGGAGAACGUGAAAGCACUGCAGCUUCCGAGCUCCCUCGCCUCCUCCUGCCCUUCUCUUUUUCAGCACAUGACCUCGCCUCCUGCUUCAGAGGAAAUAGAAGCCAUCAAUUCUUAAACCAGUGACAAUUCUACAUAAAGGAAGGACCUUGCCGUCAGUAACAGCUUACUACAGAUGGUCCCCAUGCCGAAUACAGGUCCUACAAGGCACGCCUUAUUAUUAUCUCCAGUUAACACGAGAAAACUAACUGACUUCAGAACUUGCCCGGGAUCACUUGGCGGCCCCAGCUUUGUGCCAGACACGUGCUGAGGACACGAUGAAUGAGACUGCAUGCCCUGCCCUGGAGAAGCUCAGCCUGGAAGGAGUUAGCCAAAUAUUCAUACCCCGAGAGCUGCCUGAGAAGUGACUGCUGCGUCUUACAGUUGCCAUCAGAAGAAUGUGUGUCGAGUGUCGCCAGCACUGACACUUCCCUGGAAAUACCCAUCCCUCAGGAAUUUAAAACUGAUUGUUUCGUCACCAUGACUUCAAGCUGAGGCCUUCGUGAUUAGUAAUGCCUAAAUGUGAUCUAACUUUCUGAGAAUGAGGAAAGUGAUGACAAUGAAAGCUGCAAUUUUUUUUGACAAAGGAUAAAUUUUUUUAAUUGAGGUCAUGAUGGUUUAUAACAUUGUGAAAUUUCAAUUGUACAUUGUUAUUUGUCCAUCACCACAUGAGUGCGCCCCUUCAGCCCCUGUGCCCACCUCCCAGCCCCCUCCCCCGGGUAACCACUGAACUGUUCUCUUUGUCCAUGUGUGUGUUUGUCUUCCACACACGAGUGAUUCAUAUGGUGUUUGUCUUUCUCCGUCUGGCUUAUUUCGCUUAACAUAAUACCCUCAAGGUCCAUCCAUGUUGUUGCAAAUGGGACAAUUUUGUAAAAGCUGCAAUUCUCAACCUUUUUUAGCGGUUGCCAUGCCAGCAUUGUUCUAACCACCCUGCCUCUGUCAGCUCACUGAACUCCUGUCACCGUGCCAUUCUUCCAGGUGGCAGCACUGAGGCAGGGAGAGGCAGUGCAACUUGCCCACGCACAGAGGUGGGAGCAGAGCAUAGCACAACCAGAGGCACUCACAACUAGAAUGUACAGCUAUGUACUGGGGGCCUUUUGGGAAAAGAAGGAAAAAAAAAGAAUACAGACAUAUAAUACAUAUUGUAUAGUUUUAUUCAUAUACAGUUUAAGAACAGGCAAAGCCUGGGGUGGUGGGUGGGGUGUGUAUAGACUGGGAAGGGACACAAGGGAAACUUCUGGAGUGGAGAAAGGUCUUAGGUACUGAUCUGGGUGUUGAUCAUGUAUUCAUGUAUGCAGCUAUAAACGUGUAAAAAUCAUGAAGUUGUACACUUGAGAUGAGUGCACUUUAUGCCUAUUUUGCCUCAAUAGAAAUAAAAUGAAAUAACAAGCAUGUAGGUAGAAGACUGUCAGGCUGUGAUAUGCCUGGCAGGAUCCGGACCAGAGCCGAAUGCAGGGAGCAGCUCACAAUGGGGCUUGUGUGUCAAGCUCAGGGGUUUCCCCUUUAUUCAGGGAGCCCCAGGCCUUGGGAUCCGAUCCGAGUGUCGAAAGCUCACUCAGGAUCAUUCUGCCUAAACUGGAGCUGAGGCCCAAGGGAAAGCCGGGAGGCGAGAUUGCCUUAAACUGUCCUCGUCUGAGAAAAAUCAAAUUAUACUCUAUCGACUUGGUGAGGACACACUUUCUGUAAAUACAAAAUGCUGACCCAUGGAGCUGGGGGCGGAGGCGGCAGCUCCGUGUCCCCACCCUGCCACGCGGGGAUGCCGACACUAUAAGGGUGGCUGCCGACCACGAGGCUUCAGAGAUCCCUGGGCUGGCAGGGCAGGCCUCCUGGUUCACGGCCCUCCCCUCUUCUUCCGCUUCCCGCCCCCGGGGGCCUGCCACAGUGGCGGUUUUCUUCUUUUCUUCACAGUAUUUGCAUAGAGGAGGAAGAGGUGGAUAGUGCUGGCCACACUGACCUAAAUGAAAUGCAGGGGUCACAGGUCAUUUCUGUGCAGAUUGUGUAUCAUGUCAAACAAAGUGAACUCACAAGUGCUCUUGUUCAUGUAAUUGCUCUUUCACAAAGCUGCCUUCGAUUCCAGAAGGUUAACUUUUGGGAGAGAGAAGACAGAAAUCACAGUGCCUCCUGGCCUGGGUGGAGCCGCCGAGGCACAGGGACCUCCCCGAUCACAGGAGCCAUUAAAAGCAGCGAAGCAGCAGCCCUAUGAGGGUCCGGCCGACACGGGUGUGUUAGCAAUUCCCACGUUACUCCAGCGUCUGGGAUCCUCUAGGCUCACGUUUGCAUCUGCCCACGCUUCAUGUGAGAGCCCUUUUGGUCGGUUUUAAGCUCGUGCAUAGUUGAAAAGCAACUCGGCUCCAAAGAAAACCAGAGUGCGGAGAUGCAGUCAGAAUUCUUCAGGCUGUGAGCGGUGAUUUGUCUCAGUCUUACAAUACUUUUCUCCGCUUGUUUCCCAAAUAAUCUCCAGGCUGUGAGAACCCAUCUGAAAUGUCACACACCUGAAGAAUGUGCGCCGCAGGAACUCCCUGUUCCAGGACACUGUCCGCUUUAGUGAGUGUUUAACAGACUUUGGAUGUUUUGUUUUCCUACUGAGGUGUCAGCUGAAGUCAUACCCGCGUUGGGGGUCAGCAUGGCCUCCUCCUAACUCACCCAGCACAUCCUGAGAGACAUCCUCACGUCCAGCUCUGAGAAUGUCGUCACCGGUGGGGCCACGGUGAACACGGUCACAGUUGUCUUUAAAAUCUGCCAACAGUUCUUAGAAUGGCUGAUGUGAUGUCUGCGCACAUCUCCUCCCCCAGGACCAGUCUAUCACUUGGCUGUGCUGGGGCUCUCUGGGCUCAUUUGUACAGACACUUAUUCCGGGACAAGUUCAUUUCUUGCCCUCAGAGUUUUCG